GCUUUUUGAAGCAGAAGGGACCGGCGUCGCUCUCCGCCUCUCACCCCUCCUUCCUCCAUCUGCGGUUAACGAGGACGGCAUCGUUAGGGCGAGAUUCCCAUCCGUCCCAGUGAGAAGGGCGUUCCCAGCACCCGGGAGGAAACGGGGGACGCGAUCCAAAAUGGCUCUGCCUCGUCCCAUUCCCCUCCAGCACCGCAGCUUUGCCAGCCCCACACAACAACAGCUCCCCAUCUCCAGCUGCCCCAUCCCAGCCCAGCCAAACUCGCCCAAAAGACCCCAAAAAAAGGCAAAAAACCAACGCAAAAAAAAAACAAACAACAACCCAAGAACAAAACCCAGGUGUCCCACGCCGCUCCACAGCCAAAAAAAGAGGAGAAAAAAGGGAAAAAAGGGAAAAAAGGGAAAAAAGAAAGCAGUUUUGUUGCAGGGUAAGGAGGCGCCGGGGGCCAUCUGGCUCCGGGCGUGGAGCUGGGCCCGUUCCAGGCGUCACAUGCUCCGGGUUUUGGGUUGAAAACGGAGCUUUUUCGCCAAGCUCUCCCCGUUUUUUGUUUUUUUUGUUUUUUGUUUUACCCAUUCCUGGGCGUUCUGGGCCCGAUUCUGCUGCGUUUUCACA
Long non-coding RNA from Numida meleagris (helmeted guineafowl), 613 nucleotides. RefSeq lists it as uncharacterized. NCBI's taxonomy places the organism in Eukaryota, Metazoa, Chordata, Aves, Galliformes, Numididae. The transcript is spliced from 3 exons. The record is from RefSeq and is a predicted model, not a curated record.